RNAcentral lists this ribosomal RNA (254 nucleotides) under uncultured bacterium. RNAcentral's name for it is "partial 16S ribosomal RNA". It matches the Rfam family "Bacterial small subunit ribosomal RNA", at positions 524 to 776 of the family's 1533-position model. The record is from RNAcentral.
UACGGGGGGGGCAAGCGUUGUUCGGAAUUACUGGGCGUAAAGGGCUCGUAGGCGGCCAACUAAGUCAGACGUGAAAUCCCUCGGCUUAACCGGGGAACUGCGUCUGAUACUGGAUGGCUUGAGUUUGGGAGAGGGAUGCGGAAUUCCAGGUGUAGCGGUGAAAUGCGUAGAUAUCUGGAGGAACACCGGUGGCGAAGGCGACAUCCUGGACCGGUAUUGACGCUGAGUGAGCGAAAGCCAGGGGAGCAAACGGG